This 484-nucleotide ribosomal RNA is filed under the name uncultured bacterium. Its description in RNAcentral is "partial 16S ribosomal RNA". It matches the Rfam family "Bacterial small subunit ribosomal RNA", at positions 29 to 523 of the family's 1533-position model. The record is from RNAcentral.
AGUGAACGCUGGCGGCGUGCUUAACACAUGCAAGUCGAACGAGAACGGGUUAUAGCUUGCUAUAAUUGUCAGCUAAGUGGCGCACGGGUGAGUAAUGUAUAGGUAAUAUGCCUCUUACUAAGGGAUAACAAAUGGAAACGUUUGCUAAUACCUUAUACUCCUUAUUAACAGAAGUUAAUAAGGGAAAGAUUUAUUGGUAAGAGAUUAGCUUGUAUUGUAUCAGUUAGUUGGUGGGGUAAUGGCUUACCAAGACUAUGUCACAUAACUGGUUUGAGAGGAUGAUCAGUCACACUGGAACUGAGACACGGUCCAGACUCCUACGGGAGGCAGCAGUGGGGAAUAUUGCACAAUGGACGAAAGUCUGAUGCAGCAACGCCGCGUGGAGGAUGACACAUUUCGGUGCGUAAACUCCUUUUAUAUGAGAAGAUAAUGACGGUAUUAUAUGAAUAAGCACCGGCUAACUCCGUGCCAGCCGCCGCGGUAA